AAUACAUGCAAGUCGAGCGAGAAGGUGUAGCAAUACACUUGUAAAGCGGCGAACGGGUGAGGAAUGCAUGGGUAACCUACCCUCGAGUGGGGAAUAACUAGCCGAAAGGUUAGCUAAUACCGCAUACGUUUCCGGAACUUCGGUUUCGGAAAGAAAGCAAUACCGUGGGUAUUGCGCUCAUGGAUGGGCUCAUGUCCUAUCAGCUUGUUGGUGAGGUAACGGCUCACCAAGGCUUCGACGGGUAGCUGGUCUGAGAGGACGAUCAGCCACACUGGCACUGCGACACGGGGCCAGACUCCUACGGGAGGCAGCAGUAAGGAAAUAUUGCGCAAUGGACGAAAGUCUGACGCAGCGACGCCGCGUUGGGGGAUGAAAGGUCUUCGGAUUGUAAACCCCUUUCGGGAGGGAAGAUUGAGUUGGUAACACCUUGCCCGGACCUCCAGAAGCAGCCACNCGCUAAA
Molecule: ribosomal RNA, 461 nt
Filed under: uncultured eubacterium WJGRT-122
Lineage: Bacteria
Description: bacterial SSU rRNA
Rfam family: Bacterial small subunit ribosomal RNA
Source: RNAcentral